UUUGUAAAAGCUCCGGUAGCUUAAUGGUUAAAGUGUCCUCUCGGAUGCGGGAGGUCUUGGGUUCGAUACCCAAACCAAAGACUUACAAAA
Molecule: non-coding RNA, 90 nt
Organism: Potamilus streckersoni
Lineage: Eukaryota; Metazoa; Mollusca; Bivalvia; Unionida; Unionidae
Source: the annotation of a GenBank genome assembly